UUGCAUUCUUAAAUUCUCUUGGUAGCUUCACUCUAAAUGCUUCCAAGAUAUGAAUGAAUGCUAUAGAAAUUUCAGAGGAGUCCAAAGGACUGCAUCUCUCCUGUGGCUCAGUCUUCAGACCUGUGGGA
Small nucleolar RNA from Cynocephalus volans (Philippine flying lemur), 128 nucleotides. RefSeq annotates it as small nucleolar RNA SNORA14. The record is from RefSeq and is a predicted model, not a curated record. NCBI's taxonomy places the organism in Eukaryota, Metazoa, Chordata, Mammalia, Dermoptera, Cynocephalidae. The transcript has a single exon.